Molecule: ribosomal RNA, 496 nt
Filed under: uncultured bacterium
Lineage: Bacteria
Description: partial 16S ribosomal RNA
Rfam family: Bacterial small subunit ribosomal RNA
Source: RNAcentral
GAUGAACGCUGGCGGCGUGCCUAAUACAUGCAAGUCGAGCGAACAGACGAGGAGCUUGCUCCUCUGACGUUAGCGGCGGACGGGUGAGUAACACGUGGAUAACCUACCUAUAAGACUGGGAUAACUUCGGGAAACCGGAGCUAAUACCGGAUAAUAUAUUGAACCGCAUGGUUCAAUAGUGAAAGACGGUUUUGCUGUCACUUCUAGAUGGAUCCGCGCCGCAUUAGCUAGUUGGUAAGGUAACGGCUUUCCAAGGCGACGAUGCGUAGCCGACCUGAGAGGGGGAUGGGCCACACUGGAACUGAGACACGGUCCAGACUCCUACGGGAGGCAGCGGUAGGGAAGCGUCCGCAAUGGGCGAAAGCCUGACGAAGCAACGCCGCGGGGGUGAUGAAGGUCUUCGGAUCGUAAAACUCUGUUAUUGGGGAAGAACAAAUGUGUAAGUAACUAUGCACGUCUUGAGGGUACCGAAUCAGAAGGCCACGGCUAACUACGU